Molecule: ribosomal RNA, 460 nt
Filed under: uncultured bacterium
Lineage: Bacteria
Description: partial 16S ribosomal RNA
Rfam family: Bacterial small subunit ribosomal RNA
Source: RNAcentral
UCUACGGGAGGCAGCAGUGAGGAAUAUUGGUCAAUGGCCGAGAGGCUGGACCAGCCAAGUCGCGUGAGGGAUGACGGCCCUACGGGUUGUAAACCUCUUUUGUCGGGGAGCAAAGAGAGUCACGUGUGGCUCAUUGAGAGUACCCGAAGAAAAAGCAUCGGCUAACUCCGUGCCAGCAGCCGCGGUAAUACGGAGGAUCCGAGCGUUAUCCGGAUUUAUUGGGUUUAAAGGGAGCGUAGAUGGGUUGUUAAGUCAGUUGUGAAAGUUUGCGGCUCAACCGUAAAAUUGCAAUUGAUACUGGCAGCCUUGAGUACAGUUGAGGUAGGCGGAAUUCGUGGUGUAGCGGUGAAAUGCUUAGAUAUCACGAAGAACUCCGAUUGCGAAGGCAGCUUACUAAACUGCCACUGACAUUGAUGCUCGAAAGUGUGGGUAUCAAACAGGAUUAGAUACCCGUGUAGUC